Molecule: ribosomal RNA, 498 nt
Filed under: uncultured bacterium
Lineage: Bacteria
Description: partial 16S ribosomal RNA
Rfam family: Bacterial small subunit ribosomal RNA
Source: RNAcentral
AUUGAACGCUGGCGGCAUGCCUUACACAUGCAAGUCGAACGGUAACAGGUCUUCGGAUGCUGACGAGUGGCGAACGGGUGAGUAAUACAUCGGAACGCGCCUAGUAGUGGGGGAUAACUACUCGAAAGAGUGGCUAAUACCGCAUGAGAUCUACGGAUGAAAGCAGGGGAUCGCAAGACCUUGUGCUACUAGAGCGGCCGAUGGCAGAUUAGGUAGUUGGUGGGAUAAAAGCUUACCAAGCCGACGAUCUGUAGCUGGUCUGAGAGGACGAUCAGCCACACUGGGACUGAGACACGGCCCAGACUCCUACGGGAGGCAGCAGUGGGGAAUUUUGGACAAUGGGCGCAAGCCUGAUCCAGCAAUGCCGCGUGCAGGAUGAAGGCCUUCGGGUUGUAAACUGCUUUUGUACGGAACGAAAAGCCCUGGGUUAAUACCCUGGGGUCAUGACGGUACCGUAAGAAUAAGCACCGGCUAGCUACGUGCCAGCCGCCGCAGUAA